Molecule: non-coding RNA, 72 nt
Organism: Bos taurus (domestic cattle)
Lineage: Eukaryota; Metazoa; Chordata; Mammalia; Artiodactyla; Bovidae
Source: Rfam
UCCCUGGUGGCUCAGAUGGUAAAGCGUCUGCCUGCAAUGCGGGAGACCCGGGUUCAAUCCCUGACUCAGGAA